GACGAACGCUGGCGGCGUGCUUAACACAUGCAAGUCGAACGAGUGGCGAACGGGUGAGUAACACGUGGGUGACCUGCCCUGCACUUCGGGAUAAGCCUGGGAAACUGGGUCUACUACCGGAUAGUGUGGGAUAGGCCCGCGGCCUAUCAGCUGGGUGGUGGGGUAAUGGCUAACAAGGCGCGACGGGGAGCCGGCCUGAGCGGGUGGACGGCCAACUUGGGACUGAGACACGGCCCAGACUCCUACGGGAGUCAGCAGUGGGGAAUAUUGCACAAUGGGCGGAAGCCUGAUGCAGCAACGCCGCGUGAGUGAAGAAGGUUGUCGGAUCGUAAAACUCUGUUGUUAGAAAAGCGGUAUCUAACCAGAAAGCCACGGCUAACUACGUGCCAGCAGCCGCGGUAAUAC
This 405-nucleotide ribosomal RNA is filed under the name uncultured bacterium. RNAcentral describes it as "partial 16S ribosomal RNA". It matches the Rfam family "Bacterial small subunit ribosomal RNA", at positions 28 to 526 of the family's 1533-position model. The record is from RNAcentral.